RNAcentral lists this ribosomal RNA (21 nucleotides) under Emblica columnaris. RNAcentral's name for it is "Phyllanthus columnaris partial 5.8S ribosomal RNA". The record is from RNAcentral. Lineage: Eukaryota; Viridiplantae; Streptophyta; Magnoliopsida; Malpighiales; Phyllanthaceae.
AAAACGACUCUCGGCAACGGA